Nycticebus coucang (slow loris) is the source of this 1435-nucleotide long non-coding RNA. RefSeq lists it as uncharacterized. The transcript is spliced from 3 exons. The record is from RefSeq and is a predicted model, not a curated record. Lineage: Eukaryota; Metazoa; Chordata; Mammalia; Primates; Lorisidae.
CCUAAGCCUCAGGCCUCGGCCUGCAGGUUUCACAGAACAUCUGAUCUUCUUCUUGGAGUCUGUCCUACACAUCCAGCAUACCAACAGAGGGACAAUGUGGCAUUUGAGACGCAACUUCGCCUGCAGAUCCCGACCCUCCCGGUAUCAGGAAAAGGCUUCUUGGUCCUGGGAAGAAGAGGGUCUCUGGGAACCAAUGCAGGAUAGCCACUGGGACCUGCAGGAUGGCAGGAGCUCUUGGAGGCUGCAUGAAGACGUUGGCCAGUGUGCGGCUUGCUCCGGGCGACAAAAACCAAGUUGUUCCCCUUCACCCUUGACGCCAGAACUCCUAGGCCAUGCCCCUGCCCAGUGAACUGAGGAUAACCAUGUCUGGCCUGGCUCUGCCCUCCAGCUUGCCUUUCCAAGGCCUCAAUUGAAAGCAUUCUGGAUCCAAAUCCACACCAGGAGACAACGGCCACUCCCUCUUCUGUGCCCUGUUCCUUCUAUUCCUUUCCUGGCCCACCUAUGUAAUGCUUGGAGAGGAUUUUCCCCACUGCCAUUCACACCAUCCUCUCUCACCAAUCCUGGCACCCAGUCCACCUUCCUUAACAAGUUUUGUUCAUGUGUUGAAUAGCAAAGGGCAAAGGAGGUCCACAUCCUCAUGCCUGCCAUCACCACCCUAAUUUUAGCUCCUCAUGGUCUGUAAGAAGUUUAUGGUUGAGAGACCCAAUGAGUAUGGGAAAAGGCAUUGGGUGCUGCUGCCAAGAAGAUGCAGUGAUCCUCACAGAGGACAGGGAGCCCUCAGCCCCCUAGGAGCUAGGCAAGCCAUGUGUGAACCAUGGUGGGUUGGAGGAGCAGCAGAGGUCCCCUGCUCAGCCUGGGAACGGGAGCAGUCUUAGGCCUACAGCUAGCCAGGCCAUGGCCCAGAAUUAUACCCAGGAAAGGAAAAAGCAUAGAAAGGCACAAAGCCUAGAAGACAGAAGGAUCAUAGCUUAGUAACUGCAGAGGGUGGCAUGAGGAGUUGAAAGUGGGCCUGCAAUGGGGGUUAGAUUACAGGGGACUGCAAAGGCCAUGCUAAACUCAGUUCAGACUCAAGAGUAACAUUAAUGACUAAAAGUUACUAAGCACAGAUUUAAAACUUCUUAAGUCUAAUGUUUUCUGAGAACUACAGAAUCGUAUCACCCUUUGUGUUGGUAAUGUUGAAAAUUAACAAGAACAGGGGCGGAGCCUGUAGCUCAAGGAAUAGGGCGCAGGUCCCAUAUGCCGGAGGUGGCGGGUUCAAACCCAGACCUGGCCAAAAACCACAAAAAAAUAAAAAAAAUAAGAAAAUUAACAAGAACAAUAAAUGUUUUUUAUGUUUAAAAAAAAAAAAAAACUUCUUAAGUCUACAGAAGCCUUAUUUCCAGCAGCGCCUGGAAACACUGAUACUCUCUAGGUAACCCUUUAUUACUGACAAGGC